This 199-nucleotide ribosomal RNA is filed under the name uncultured bacterium. RNAcentral describes it as "partial 16S ribosomal RNA". It matches the Rfam family "Bacterial small subunit ribosomal RNA", at positions 646 to 848 of the family's 1533-position model. The record is from RNAcentral.
GUCACUGUAGAGGGGUAGAAUUUCAGGUGUAGCGGUGAAAUGCGUAGAGAUCUGAGGAAUCCGGUGGCGAAGGCGGCCCCCUGGACAGAGUACUGACACUCAUAUGCGAAAGCGUGGGGAGCAAACAGGAUUGAUCCCUGGUAGUCCACGCCGUAAACGAUGUCUACUUGGAGGUUGUGGCCUUGAGCCGUGGCUUUCG